RNAcentral lists this ribosomal RNA (254 nucleotides) under uncultured bacterium. RNAcentral describes it as "partial 16S ribosomal RNA". It matches the Rfam family "Bacterial small subunit ribosomal RNA", at positions 524 to 776 of the family's 1533-position model. The record is from RNAcentral.
UACGGGGGGAGCAAGCGUUGUUCGGAUUUACUGGGCGUAAAGGGCGCGUAGGCGGCCACCGCAAGUCGGUUGUGAAAUCUCCGGGCUUAACCCGGAAAGGUCAAUCGAUACUGCGGGGCUAGAGUGCAGAAGGGGCAACUGGAAUUCUCGGUGUAGCGGUGAAAUGCGUAGAUAUCGAGAGGAACACCUGCGGCGAAGGCGGGUUGCUGGGCUGACACUGACGCUGAUGCGCGAAAGCUAGGGGAGCGAACGGG